RNAcentral lists this long non-coding RNA (11372 nucleotides) under Cicer arietinum (chickpea). RNAcentral's name for it is "long non-coding RNA (CARI_LNC003549)". Lineage: Eukaryota; Viridiplantae; Streptophyta; Magnoliopsida; Fabales; Fabaceae. The record is from RNAcentral.
UGUAAUUAAGUUAGCAUAAUACUAUUAUCAAUAAUAUUCAAACCCUUAUUAUUUUCUCUCCUCCUUUGCUCUAAAAUCACACAACUUCAACAAUGCGCAAAAUACAUCUUAUGCUAUUGUUCAUAAUUGAUCAUGAAUCUUAUGAUUCAUUUUAAACUUCAAACACAAACAUAGUAUAAGCAUUAUGAUGUCAUAUAAUCCAUUUAGCCGACUCCAUGAAAUGGAAAAUGGCUUGGUUGUUACUAUUUUGAUCGGUGCUAUAGAAAAUAGGCUUUCCAAUCAGCAAUCCAUUUCACAAUUCGACACCCAAAGUAAGAAAACUAAAACUAUUUAAUUUGUAUGAACUCAACAGUUAGGGGUUUUUGGUGGCAGUAUAGAUGCUCUUCACAGGCGCUGUUAGCUAGGACAUCGUGAGGUUAAUCCUUAUACAUUGUUUGUAGUUUUGAAGCAAAAUAUGUUCUUCCAUUACUCAGUUCCUCAUUUAUAUUGUAAAGGAAGUUUUGGUUUCACUUUUUAUAUCCUGGAGUAAUUAGUGAAUUGAUAAAUUUACUUAUUGAGCUUCCUAUGUGCAUUUCAGAGAGUUUGCAAGUUUAGUUGAUCAAUCAUGGAGGAUGGAAAUGGGUGGCAAUCUUAGACAGGAGUUUCUACCAUUAUAAUUUAUAUUUAUUGCCGUUAUAAUCAAAAUGGAAUGCUACAAGGUCUGAAUCUUAAUCUUCAAGUACUUGAUGUAUUUUCUACUACACAUUGGAUAAUUAGACAAUACAUUUUUUAAAACAAAAAAGGAAAGCAAUUCUGCUUUAGCAAUUGUAAACAUAUAUGAAGCACUCUUUAGCUUUGGCUUUUGGGACAUUUGGUCUUUGGAAUGGUCUGAAGGCUUCUCUAACCAAGUGGUUAUGAGUUCAAUCCUUGCCUCUCUUCCAUAGUCAGGAGUUUAAUCUUGCCACUUGCAUUCUCAUAACUAAAUUACAAUUUCAAAAUAUGCUUGUGGCUCAUGCUUUGCCCACACUUCAAGCCAAAGUGAUUUUGGUAAUUUUAGAGAUAUACUCCCUCCAGUCGCAUAAGAAAAAAACUUUCCGACUUAUUAAGAAAAGUAGUUACUCUCAUUUAAUGUUUCUCAAUAUAAUAAAAUAAGUAAUUGUAUUUUUUAAAUUACCCCUCAUGGAAACUUGUUCCAUGAAAAUAGAAGGUUUAUUGAAAAUUAUAUCCAAAUUCAUUGAAUGACAAUUAGGGAAUAAUAGCAUUAAAGUAUGAUAGAAGUAGACAAACAAACAUAACUCUUUUGUUUAUAUUUGAGGCCUGAGUGGUAGUUAUAUAAGCUACAUAUAAGAAUCUAUAUUUUGUAAUAGGCAGCAGUCUCCAAGUAGGAGAGUGUAUGUAAUAUGGAAUAGGAGAGAAGUAAAAGAUCACAGCCUCUAAUUUAGUUGGAACUGGGUAACUAAGAGGACUGACUAUUAUUAGUUGAGAUAACUGCAGGGUGGGAAUUAAAAUGGAAGGAGAGGAACUGAGGGAGGGUAUUGGAUUGUAUUCUGAGUUUGUGGAAGAGGCCAGGAUCUUUCAAAUAACCAGGAACUUGUUCUUAGUACCUUUUAUAUCUUAACCAGUCUACACCUAUACAGUCUUCUUGGUCUAUCAGAGGGCCACAUGCUUGCGCCUUUAAACCCUAGUUAGGAGAGUGUUUUAAUGCCGACCUUAUCAAAAUCUGUGUUUGUUUUAUUAUUAAAAAAUAUCUCUCAUUUAUAGGGAUUUGGUUGUAUAAGAGUACUAAUUAUAUUCUCCUUAUAUAUCUUAGUAAUCUUGUAUAUAUAUCUAAUGUAUUGUCAACAUAAUUCAAUUCAAUAAAAUAUUUUACCCUAAUUCUUAAGAGAUCUCAUAAUGAAUCCUGAGAAUUCCUUCUAUUGGUCUACAAAAUACGUACUUAUGUUUUAAGCUAUUGUUCUCGUUCAUCUGUCUUUUACUCUUCUAGCACACAUUUAAAAAUCACAACAUUGAUACAUUAAGCUCUCAACUGUGACUGCAGAGUUCCUAUAUUACCUCCCAUGUUAUGCAAGAAUUAUUCUUAAGAACUCAUACGAAACACACAGGUUUAUUGAAUGCAUUAGAAGUUUCCAUUCAAAAGCACUAACAUAACACGAUCACACUAUGAAAUACACUUUUGAGAAGUCUCUUAUAGAGGCUCAAUUUAUUAACACUUUCAUACAUCAUAAGUUGCUACAGCUCCAGCACCAAAUCUACAAUGCCAACAAUUGUAAAUUAGUCAAAAUGCAUAAAUAUAUUCCAAUUAUGAUAAAGCAAUGCACAUAAAUGCUCCAUAAAUGUUUGCAUUGAAAUCUAAAAACCUGCUGCUGAGUUAGUUUGAAAUUUGUGUCAUUAAAACUCAACGAUUUUAAAUUCGGUGACAAAAAUACUUAAUACAAGUGACAAAAUACUACUCCGUGAAGUCUCGUACUGUGCUGAGGAGUUGCUGGAAAAUUCAGAAAUAGAGAACCAAGGCAGAUUUUAACCCUACCCUCCGUGGCUUAAGCCACCACCACAUCACUCUGAUCUUUAUAUAUAUCUUUUGCAUUACUAUAUGUCGGAAGACAGUGGUAAAUUGUUGUUAAUUUAUUCAGUAGUCAAAGAUUGUUUAAAUAAAAGAUAACAAUAAAGUCUCUUCCUUUGAAUAAGGAAUGAUUAGAAGAAUAUAAGGAAAUAAGAAAUUCAUACAAUACUAUAAGAUUUGAAUAAAAUAAAAUAAAAUUUAGGAGCUCACAAUAUCCCCUAAUUCUCCAACACCACCCUCAAGUUCGUGCAUAUAUAUCUAUCAUGCCCAACUUGUUAUGAAAUGCCCAAAGACAUGUCUUGCAAGGCUCUUGGUCAGUAUCAAAAUCUGUUUCUUUUUUCUUAUUAAAAAAUAUCACUGAAUUACUGGAAUUUGGUUGUAUAGGAGUACUAAUUAUGUUCUCCUUAUUUAUCUUAGUAAUCUUGUAUAUAUAUAUGAUGUAUUGUCAACAUAUUUUAAUUCAAUAAAAUAUUUUACCUUAAUUCUUAAGAUGGUAUCACGAGCUCUUGGUUUAAGGCUUGCUUUUGCAUAAAUCCUAGCCGUUUUUAUUGUGGUAAACUUUAGCCACCGUCAUUGUGGCCAUUUGCUGCCUUCAUUGCAGUGUUUGUGAUCCUUAAAGUCUGUUUGCUGCCUUCGUUGUCUUGAAACCAGCCAUCACCGCCGUGAACACAACUUUUGACUUCUCACCACUGUACACUGACGGUAUUGCACCACCCCUACACCAUUCCUCGAAGAAAGCAGCCAAACCCCAGAAAAUCACCGCCAUCCGAAGCCUGAUGUGCCGCCAGUGUUCUGACGACCCCGUAGUGCGUGUAACCCAUGCGCCGCCCUCUAAGCAGUUGUUCACUGCCGUUAUUUUGUAGAUUGUAAAUCGGAGGUUUCCUGUCUGCUUUUGGUGGUUACUUUUCAGAUCAAAGCACUUUGGUUCGUGGGUCAUUUGAUGCGCACACCUUUUUUCGAUUAGAAACUUGUUUCUGUUUUUCGUCCAUUGUGGGAGAAGGAGUAGUGAUUAAUACUGAAACCGAUAAUGAAACGUGAAAUAAAAAAUCCCAAGCCGAAUUGCAAAAUGUCUCAUUCGUUCACAAGUUGAAUGAGAAUAACUAUUUGAAAUGAUCUCAACUUGUGCACACUUUUUUAAAGGUAAAAGGACGACAUAAUACUUAUCAGAUGAACCCUCCAAAGAAAUAGAUCUCGAGUUUAAGAGGUGGAAUAUAGAGGAUUCUAUGAUCAUGGCAUGGUUAUGGGAUGCAAUGAUCCAGAAAUCAGUGACACUUGCAUGCUUCUCAGCAUUAAGAAGGAGGUUUGGAAGGCAUUAGAAGAGACUUAUUCUAAAGCCAAAGAUGCUGCCCAAAUAUAUGAUGUGAAGGUGAAAACUGUGGUUGGUAAACAGGGAAACAAGACAAUUACUAAGUAUGCAAAUCAUCUUAAAGCUUUGUGGAUGGAGUUGGAUCAUUACAGAGUUAUAAAAGUCAAGUGUUUAGCAAAUUCGACUUUACUAAAGGAAUAUAUUUAACAUGAUAGUCUAUGAUUUCUUGGUGUGACUCAUCUAUGAUUUUGAUCAAGUUAGAGUGCAAAUCCUUGGCAGGGAGAAAGUAUCAGGAAUUAAUGAGGCAGUGGCUAUAGUGAUGAGUGAAGAAAGUUAACGGGGACUAAUGCUGACAGUUCCACUUGUAGAAAGCUUAGCAAUGCUAGCUGAAAAGAAUUUGACUAUGAUGGUUGACCUAAAGAAAGGAGGAGGAGCCUAUGUGGAGAAAAAUAGGUGAUGGAGUGUGGUGUACCUAUUGCAACAAGUCUCACCAUACUCAUGAAAAAUGUUGGAAAUUGAAUGGGAAGCCACCUAAUAGUGAGUGGGGAAGAAACGGAGGUCAAGGACACAUAGCUACAAUUACUAGUGAAGAGAGUCGAGAAGGUAUGAUGCAACUGAACCAAGAUGAGGUAGAAAAGUUGAGAUCUUUACUCAUUAGUUUGGAGAAGCCCACAUGUACUUGUUCCUUGGCACAUUCAGGUAUGUUUCCAUUUUCUUUUGGACUUAAUGCUUCAGAUAUACCCUUUAACCAAUAUUGGAUUCUAGAGCCACAAACCACAUGAUACAUUUACCCUUACAUUUCUCCACUUUUUCACCUUGCCCUAGCAAUUAGAAAAUAUCCACAUUAGAUGGUACCCUUAUAACUGCAGAAGGUCAAAGAGAUGUUCAAAUAAAUCUAUCCACAACCCUAAGAAAAUGUUCUCCAUAUCCUUAAACUGUCCAUUAGUCUCAUUUCCAUACAAAAACUCACAAAAGACCUAACAUGUAAUGUUAUCUGCGAUAACCAAUCUUGUGUUUUUCACGACAAGAAUUUGGAGAGGAGGAUUGGAAAAGCUAGAGAAUGGAAUGACCUUCACUAUUUGGAUAACCGAAACUUAGCUUUGAAGUUACUGAACAACAAUAACUCCUUUUUAAUAGAAUCAAUAAAAACCAUCAGGGAGAAGGUUCUUUUGUAACACUGUCGCCGUGGUCACCCUUUAUUUUGAGUCAUUAAGCUAUUAUUUCCUUUGAUUUUUAAGAAAUUAGAGGUUUGUGAGCUUUCUAAACACAAGUGUGUACUUUUUUCAAUCAGUAAUAAAAUAAAUACUUUUCCGUUUUAUUUAAUUCAUACAGAUGUGGGGAAUUCUUCAAAUGUUCCAAAUAUAUCAGGUGCACGUUAGUUUGUAACCUUUAUUGAUGAUUGUAAUCGGGUUACUUGGGUGUAUUUAUUAAAACAAAAAUCUGAAGUCACUUAUAUGUUUCUACAGUUCUUCUCCAUGGUAAAAAAUCAGUUUGGAGUAAGUAUUAAGAGGAUUAGGUCUGAUAAUGACAAAUAUUACUUUAAUCGUGAUCUUAAGUCUUUCUAUCACAAAGAGGUCAUUAUUCAUGAGUCCUCUUGUAUUAAAACACCCCAACAAAAUAAGAUUAUUGAAAAGAUAAAUGGGCACUUGUUAGAUCAAACCCGAGCUAUGUUAUUUCAAAAUAAGGUUUCUAAGAAAUUUUGGGGAGAAACAAUAUAAACUGCUUCAUAUCUCAUAAAUCGUUUACCUUCUAGUGUCAUUGCCUUCAAAACUUCCAUGGAGGCCCUCUCCUCGUUCUAACCCAAUGUGUCCACGACUAUUAAUCUUACUACCAAAAUAUUUGGGUGGCAUUGUUUGGCCAUAUACAUAGUGAUAGUAGAGGGAAACUUGAUCGUAAAGCCUUAAAAUGUGUCUUUAUCGGAUACUCUUCCACCUAAAAGGGCUACAAAUGCUAUCAUCCACCAUCCCAAAAAUUGUCUCCAUAGAUGUCACCUUCCAUGAACGAAAAAGUUACUUCAGUCAAACUCAUCUUCAGAGAAAGAAUACAAGGAAGAUGAGUCUCUUCUAUUUCUGUGUUGACUCUUGAACCAAAAAUUGAGACUGAAAUUGAUUUUGAAAAAGAUGGAAAUGAACAAAAUGACAAUGUUGAGACUGAAAUUGAUUAUGAGAAAGAUGAAUGUUGUUUAGACGAAAUAGAAAUAUGGGUCUUGAAGCAUAUACCGAUGUUGACUAUGCAAAGUCAAUUAUAGAUAGAAGGUCAACACAUGAUAUUACAUUUUCCUAUGUGGGAAUCUUGUGACUUGAAAGAGUAAAAAACAAAGUGUGGUAUCCAGAUUCAAUGCUGAAGCAGAAUUUAGGGCAAUGGCACAAGGGAUAUACGAGUUACUAUGGUCGAAGAUCAUUUUGGAGGAUUUGAAGAUAAAGUGGGAUGAGCCAACAAAACUUUAUUGUGAUAAUAAAUCUGCUAUUAGCAUAGCCUGUAACCCAUUGUAGCACAACAAAACCAAACAUAUUGAAGUUGACAAACUUUUCAUCAAAGAAAAACUCGAUAGUUGCUAAACAGCAACAACUUUUAAAGAAUUGUAUCCAAACUGGGAAUGGAAAACAACUAUUCACCAGUUUGAGGGGUAGUGUCAAAAUCUGUUUAUGUUUUUUUAUUAAAAAAUAUCCCUCAAUUAUAGGGAUUUGAUUGUAUAAGAGUACUAAUUAUAGGAAUUUGGUUGUAUAUGAGUACUAAUUAUAUUCUCCUUAUUUAUCUUUGUAAUAUUGUAAUUUAUUUUCCAACAUUUUCAAAACACAAAUAAUAAGAAAGUAUUUUUUGUUGAAAAUAAAGUGUUAUUCCAUUAGUUUCUACAAUUUCCAAUAUGAUGUUUCUAUGAUUUUGUUCUUAACAUAAAUGAUUAAUUUUUUAAAGCAUUUCUAGUAUAUCUUUUAAAUUUUUAUUAUAGCAGCUAUACGCACUGCCAUUUGUCGCCAUCUACCACUAAUAACAUUGGUCCUGCACUCUUGCCCACUCUCCUUUUUCUUUUUCCUUCUCUUGCGUCAAGCGCCCAUAUCAUAAAAAAUUCAAAAUGACAUUCCUUUAUACUCUCAAUCACUUGUAUAUUCUGUGUUGUUUAAAGAAGACUAUGAAAACUUACAAUGAUGCUGAUGGAAUAUACUUAUCAAAGUUUUGUGUGCGUCAAGAGUCACAUUUUAUAGAUAUAUAAUAUAGUACUUACACUCUGCAUCUGUCUUGAUCCAGUGCUCAUUGUUCCCAGUUGAACCACUGCUACUUAGGCCAUCUUGCGGUGGUUUCCAGUUGGUCUUACAGUGUUUAAACCACUUUCUUGACUUGCUAUCUGAAUGAACUCUUCUGCUAGGAUUUGGGUUUGUGGUAUUUCCUUUAUCAUAUUCAUCGAAGCAGUCAUGAGGAAGAUUAAUCUUACCUUUGUGGGAUUUACUAAAACAUUUUGCAUUUAUGAUGUCUUCAGGAUAGACUUUUCUGUGAAACUUAUGUAAAACCUGCAUACAGAGAUGGAUAAAUCGAAUAACUUGUUAUGAUUGUUUUGUGUGUUCAAGAUGAAAUGUUGAAAUUGUGGUUUUAUUUUGAUAGCUUAACUUCUCUUGAAGAUGCCGACGUUUUCCAUACCUAGUGAUAUUUGCCAAAUUACCUUUUUAGCAUAGUUACAAUUUGUUAAAAGCCUUACUAGAACCACCUUCAUUUAAUGGUCUUUAAGCAUGCUUAACAACAUUUGAAUAGUGUUUUACUUGAUUCUCAACGAUAACAAGCUACCAGUAGAUUUAUGUCAUUGUCUUAUUGAUAAUUCUCACAUAUCCACAUUUUUUUCAUUAUAUUUCUUGUGGCUAACGAAGUGAACAUGCACUACAGUUUUGAUUGAUUAUUCUUUUGUUAAGAUGCAAAGGCAAAGGGUGAUGGGGCCGACCAACCUAUAUAUGCACACAUACACUUCCUCUGCUCCUUUAUAAAGUUUAUAUAAGGAGGAACCUUUAUGAUAAAUUUGCUUGUCCAUUUAUAUAAAACUCCCUCUAAAUUGUCUAUUGCAUCAAUUAUUCUUUUAUACCAAAAUACCCAUAAUUACUCCUGUUGAGAUGUGGCCAUGAUUUACUUUCCUAUUAUCUUGUCUAUAUCUUUCUGAUUGUAUUUCAAUCCCUAUAAUUAAAGGAUCUUGAUUGUAAUCCUUUUACUAUAAAUACAUACCCACGGGAAUUUGCUUCUCAUGACAUACAGACUAAUUCUUUUUUAAUCUCAAGUUGUAUUAGAGCUCACGAUAUGUGGGCCUGAUAGGAAAGGUUCAAAAGUGGGAAAACCCUAGUUGUCAAGCCACAAACCUAGCAGUUUUGCCGGUAGACCACUAUCGGUGGCCCUAGAUGUCACGACGGUGACCUUUACCAUCAGAACAACCGUAAUCAGUAAAGCCGUUCCUCUAAACACCGCCAUCAUCCUCACCAUUACAUGCCUUCAUGCGUUGAUCAAAAGCCAACAAGUCCGCCGGUGCGUGAAGUUCAUGCGCCAUCUUUUGCUACGCCGCCUGUCCCAUUCUAUUCCUAUUUAUUUUGCCUAUAUCUUAAAUAAUUGUGUUUCAAUCCUUAUAGUUAAGGUAAGGGAUCUUAGAUUGUUAUCCUUUUACUAUAAAUACAUAACCAUGGGGGUUAGCCUCUCAUGACAUUCAGAGUAUCUUUUCUAAUCUCAAGUACUCCAUCAUCUCUCUCUUGUGAGAAUUGAGGAAAGAGGUGACAUGAUGAGUUUCAAUUCAAAUUAAUUCGGUGAAAAGAGUGAGACAAUGAGUCCUGAGGGUACUUUUGAAAAAUAAUACAAAUUGAAUGUUACUAACUAAAUUAACCAACCUUCUUACUUGUGAAUUUUUUAAAGGGCGGUGAUUAGAGUAUUGUUAAAUAGGUAAAAAUAUCUAGUAAUAGGGACCAACCUUACUGAGCUUUGUAUUGGUUGAAGUCGAAUCAGCAUCAUUCCCAGAGGUGUUACAGCCUUUCGAGGAACUGUGGACCAUUUUGAACAUCUUUUUCAUAAUAUGCAUGGCAGACUUAUGUGCUUGCUUGACUUGUGUCUCUUCGACUCCUGUCUCUGCACAGUCUUCAUUUGUUGACUCUGUCCUAUGAAAUAGCUCAGCAAGUGAUGUCCUUUCUUUCCUCACUUCUAUUUUCUCUGGUGUUUUGAACGAUGACCCCAAUAAAUAUCCUUGCAGUGGACAUACAACCUUGUUUCCACAAUCUUUAGCUUCGGAUCCAUCUGUUUGAUUUCCGCUAAGUGUGAUGUUGCGAAGACGACUGUUUCUUCCUGAUGAUUCAUAGAAACUUUCAUCUUCAGUCUCAAGGAAUUUCUCAAGCUCAAAACUUAUGAGCUUCAGUUCAUUCUCUGUCACCUCUGCAUCUGUCAUAGUUAUGUUUUCUGAAGGCAUGGACAAUGUUGGUGUUGCCGGCUCAUUGGUAACUGCCUCUGCACCAAGGGUUCCAAUUGUCAAAAAGCUUUGAAAGAGCUCAGGGAUGACUGCAGAUGUUUCUUCUUGUGAAUCAUCAUCUUCUCUGCAGCAAGAUGUUUGACUUUCCUGAUGGUGUGGCUUUGAGAAGCAGGGUUGGUUAAUGGAACUGAAGCUUGGCUUUGUCUGAAGAUAUUGGCUGUCAAAUGUUAGCUGGACUGUAAGACAAGCACACGGAUUUCCUGAAAUUCAAGUUUCAAAAGAAAUUACUAAAUUGGUCUGAAGUUAGCAACUAAAGAUAGUUCUACAAUCUACAUGACUUGUUGAAAUAUUUAUUUGUUGCUUACGCUAUCCUAUAACCUUGGGAAGAGGAAUACAGAACAUGGAAAAGAAUUAAAAGAAGGAUUAUAUAUAAUAAUCAGAUAGUGAAAUGUGAACUAAGGGCUUGAGAGUGAUAUAUGUUCAAUGUUCCAUUUGUAGUAGGUUAUGGUUUUAAUCAACCUGAAGUAGAUAUGGCAAUGGGGCUGGGGUGGGGAUGGAUUUUGCCUCUCCCACCCUCAUCCCGGUCAGGUUUAAAUAUUGAAUCACCAUCCCCGCCUCUAAUAGGAGUCGGGUUUCUCCGCCCCCGUCCCCGUCUCAUAUAUAUAAAUAAUAAAAUAAAAAAUUAUAUUUAUUAUAAUUAAUAUAAUAAAAUAAUAGUUAUUAGAAAAUAAUGAAAUUAAAUUCAUUAAAAUUAAAUUAUCUAUUGAGAACUGAUUAAAAUUUAUAAUUAAAAAAUAUUAAAUAAAUAAAUGAGUAUAUAAAAAAACGAAAAAAAUAACAAAAUCAUUAGCGGGUUGGGGCGGAUUUCAACACUCCAUUCCUGUCCCCGCCCCUGACUUAGAAUUUCGAAGAAAAUUCACACCUGCAUCAAAUCAAAAUGAAGUUUAUCUGUAAAAAUUGGGUCGGAUUUGGGUGGAUACUUGGGGUGUGGGUUAAGUUGUCAUAUAACCUGAAGUGGGAUGCGGAUGGAUCAAGACCAAUUGUGGUCCUAAAUCCUGAUCUAUUUGAAAAGCCUAGUAUGCAGAACUGCAGAACACCUUAUUUUUACUUUAUCUAGAUAUGUGUAACAUUGUGUAUUGAUGCAGCUCAGAAAUAUGAAUGCAAUCUAUAUUUUGUUAUGUUGAUGGACAGUGACCAGUCAUCAAUGUGACAAUUUAAUUGUUUGUAGGUGUAUCUGAUGAUAGUUGUUAGCCUUCGCUUAAUGCCUUAGAAUGUGUUUGGAUUGAGGGUAUACGAUGAAAUGGAGUCGGAUGGAUUGAAAUGAGAUAGCAUGUAACUUUCUUAAAUCUAACAAGACUAUUCCAUUUCAUUCCUCCCUAUACAACUAAACCAAAAAUAUAGAGAACAUUUGCAUUGACAACCUAUCUUUUCCCAUUCACUCUCUUCCAUGAAAAAACGUGAGAGAAAAAUUGGAGGAAAUGAGAUAAGAGUAAUAAGGACAGCUGAAUACCAAGCGUGAAAUCCUUGAAGGGAUGAAGUUUUCGAUGCACCCAUUGAAGCAACUGCAAAAAUUAAAGGCAUGAGUUAAGCCGAAGGCCUGGAAGAAAUUGUUUUAUCAUUAAUUGGUAGAGUUUAGUCAUACCUUCAUUUUGACUCUUUUCUUGAUUUGAUGACCAAGUUUUCUCACUUAACAGAUUAGGCUGGUAUUUAUAAAUGUGAAUGGAAAAAGGUCACCCGAAGGAUUAGGAAGUUAUGAUUGAUAAAGUGAAAAGACACAGAUCUUUUCUUUGUGAUUGAAUGAGUUGGAAGUUGGUAAAUUCUAGAAUGUCUCUAUGGAGAAAAACAAUUAGAUAGAUACAACAAUGUAGUUGGCAAUUCUUUUCAAAAUCUAAUCAUGUAGGUAAAUUUAGUUUGUCAUUUGUACCAAGUUUCUAUUUGUCUAUAUUUUUGUCUCUAUGAACUUUAAUGGUGUUAGAUCACUCAUGUAUGUAAAUCCAUAACCUUUGAUCUUAGGCUGACCAAAGUGCAUUCAGAUGCCAAAGCACUGCCAAUUUUGAACGAUGAAGCUGUUGUAAAUUUCAAUUGCUAAAACACUUUCACUGCUGAGCAGG